UACGGAGGGUGCAAGCGUUAAUCGGAAUUACUGGGCGUAAAGCGUGCGUAGGGGGUUCGUUAAGUCCGUUGUGAAAGCCCCGAGCUCAACUUGGGAAUUGCAGUGGAUACUGGCGAGCUGGAGUGCGGUAGAGGAAGGUGGAAUUCCCGGUGUAGCGGUGAAAUGCGUAGAGAUCGGGAGGAACACCAGUGGCGAAGGCGGCCUUCUGGACCAGCACUGACACUCAAGCACGAAAGCGUGGGGAGCAAACAGG
RNAcentral lists this ribosomal RNA (253 nucleotides) under uncultured bacterium. Its description in RNAcentral is "partial 16S ribosomal RNA". It matches the Rfam family "Bacterial small subunit ribosomal RNA", at positions 524 to 776 of the family's 1533-position model. The record is from RNAcentral.